Portunus trituberculatus (swimming crab) is the source of this 783-nucleotide long non-coding RNA. RefSeq lists it as uncharacterized. The record is from RefSeq and is a predicted model, not a curated record. NCBI's taxonomy places the organism in Eukaryota, Metazoa, Arthropoda, Malacostraca, Decapoda, Portunidae. The transcript is spliced from 4 exons.
GACUCUGCACGAUAUUUGACAGCGGCAUCGUCCCAGCUGGGUGUCACUUACUGGGAGAUAGUGGCUAUCCCAGCAAGAAGUGGCUACUGACUCCAUACCUCAGACCACAGCCUGGAGCACAGUCUUCUUAUAACAGGGCCCACAAGAAAACCUGCAGCAUUGUUGAGAGAGGCAUCGGGCAGCUGAAGCCACAUUUUCACAUGCUACACAGUGAAAUCAAGUUGGUCCUCCACCCAAGGUCUGCCAAAUUGUAGAGGUUUGUGCAUUACUGCACAACAUCUGCAAAGCAAGAAACAUCAUUCUUCCUGAGGAAGAAGAACAUCUUGCUGCAGCCGAGGAUGGAGGCAAUGAGGAGCGACCCCCAGCACAGAAAGUUCAAAGUCGCCAUGAAGGAAUCCUUUACAGGGAUGAAUUUGUUGUGCUUCACUUAAACAUUGAUGAGUGAUGAGACACCAGUGUCAUGACUGCUGAGAUUGGCGUUAAUUUCAUGUGGAUGAUCUCCUCCUCAUCCACAUAGACCAGUGAUGUACCAGGCAAGUCUGGCCCCUGUUGGUGCCACAUCACUGGUGCUGGAAGUGGUGUGGCAGGUGCCUCCUCCUCAACACCUACUGCUUCGGUCACCACUUCUCUCUGUUGGGCUGCCUCUGCCACUUCCCCAGCAUCAUCUGCUGCCUGAACACUGCUGGCAUCAUUAGUUCUAACUUCAGAAACUAAGCUGAUAAUGUUUUUGGUUUUAUUGCUAAGGACAAAAGUAACAGAAACCAGUAAAUCUAGCUAAGGGUA